UACGAAGGGGGCUAGCGUUGUUCGGAAUCAUUGGGCGUAAAGGGCGCGUAGGCGGCCAAUCAAGUCGAACGUGAAAUCCCCCGGCUCAACCGGGGACCUGCGUCCGAUACUGUUUGGCUCGAGUCCCGGAGAGGGUAGUGGAAUUCCCAGUGUAGCGGUGAAAUGCGUAGAUACUGGGAGGAACACCGGUGGCGAAGGCGGCUACCUGGACGGGUACUGACGCUGAUGCGCGAGGGCUGGGGGAGCAAACAGG
RNAcentral lists this ribosomal RNA (253 nucleotides) under uncultured bacterium. RNAcentral's name for it is "partial 16S ribosomal RNA". It matches the Rfam family "Bacterial small subunit ribosomal RNA", at positions 524 to 776 of the family's 1533-position model. The record is from RNAcentral.